GAUGAACGCUGGCGGCGUGCCUAAUACAUGCAAGUCGAGCGAACAGACGAGGAGCUUGCUCCUCUGACGUUAGCGGCGGACGGGUGAGUAACACGUGGAUAACCUACCUAUAAUACUGGGAUAACUUCGGGAAACCGGAUCUAAUACCGGAUAAUAUAUUGAACCGCAUGGUUCAAUAGUGAAAGACGGUUUUGCUGUCACUUAUAGAUGGAUCCGCGCCGCAUUAGCUAGUUGGUAAGGUAACGGCUUACCAAGGCAACGAUGCGUAGCCGACCUGAGAGGGUGAUCGGCCACACUGGAACUGAGACACGGUCCAGACUCCUACGGGAGGCAGCAGUAGGGAAUCUUCCGCAAUGGGCGAAAGCUUGACGGAGCAACGCCGCGUGAGUGAUGAAGGUCUUCGGAUCGUAAAACUCUGUUAUUAGGGAAGAACAAAUGUGUAAGUAAAUAUGCACGUCUUGACGGUACCUAAUCAGAAAGCAACGGCUAACUACGUG
RNAcentral lists this ribosomal RNA (497 nucleotides) under uncultured bacterium. RNAcentral's name for it is "partial 16S ribosomal RNA". It matches the Rfam family "Bacterial small subunit ribosomal RNA", at positions 28 to 507 of the family's 1533-position model. The record is from RNAcentral.